UGUGUCUUUUUGUAGUCAUUUUGUGUCUGGUUGUAGUUGUUUGUGUCUUUUUGUAGUCAUUUUGUGUAUGGCUGUAGUUGUUUGUAUCCCCUUGUGGUCAUUUUGUGUGCCAUAUAAUCGUAUGUUUGACUUGCACGAUGAAAUGUGUAACAGUCACUUCAGACAGAGGCUCUGGCCCCGGGGACCCCUGAGAGUCUUGUGGUCCUGGGCCUUUGCCUGGCUGAUCCUUCAGUAAUCCAUCCACGGAGCAUGACAGCAAAGAAACUCCAUCCAUGGAGGAAGCACACAAGCUGUGGCUGAAAGCUCCUGAAGCAGGCAAGCAGAUCUCAGGUCUGUAUUUUUGACAAACUGUUCAAGAUUGAACCCUCAAGCUGGACUGUCCUAACGUUGUCUUUACAAGUGAGAAUUCAGCUGUUGCACUGAAGUGACAGAUUCUGAGAUCUGACUCCUGUGUGAUGAUCAGUGCAGAGGUCUCUGUAGGGGGAGUGGUCUCAUGAAGUACACACUGGAUUUACUCAUGACUUUAAAAAGCCAUUUCAGUUUGCUUAUAUAUUAAAAAUUCUCCCAGGAAUCAAAUUAAUUUAUGAUGAGCUGUCAAAGGCUGUGAGCGUCAAUCUGUCCUGAAGGGAUCCAUAAGAUCUUUUGUACAUGGAGUGCGUGUCUGAAGUUAUCAGGUAGUGAAAUGUCAUGUUACAUUAUCCACCGUCUGGAGGAAUCUGUACGAUUUCCCGUGAAGCCUCACGUGUUUUUGGGCGCAGACGCAGUAAUUGUCUCUGUCAGUUAGCUAAGGAAAGGUUGCGCCGUCGCGCCGCAAAUUAACCUUUUACAGGAAUGUUGAAAGUUGACGUUAAUGCCACCGCAGUCCUGAGCGGCGUGAAGAGCCUGAAGUCCAAACCAAACCAAACACGGUGUCAAACAGUGGGCCCGUCUCUGGAUGUUCGAGCGGGCGGCUGCUUCUGCUGGUCACAUGCUUUCUCAGCACACAUGCGACAGUCCCGCUCAGCACUGACCCGGUUCGCUUCAUGAGGGACCGGCUCCUCGAGCUCCUCCAUGUCAGGUGGGGUGCUGGCUCACCAAUUACUGGGUGAGGCUGAGAAAGUAGCAUAGAGCUGCCCCGAGCUGCCAUGUUGUAUUAGCAUCACGCUGCUGGCAAGUAGGUUUCAAGUCGUUUAACAGGAGGAGAUCUGACAAACCGCCUCGUUUCACUGUGCCCGGUUGAUCUGCAACACAAGAGGAGGAACAUCAAGCUGUACGUAAAGCUCGGUCCCAUAAUUCUCAGUGUUUGUGACUUGGGGGGCUUUAAGUUGUCUGAGCUGCAUAUGGAGUCACGACUGGCUCCAGACCAGCGGUGAUGUCACUGACUUGCCUGGUGCGGACACGUGGUUCAGUUUGAGCGUUAUCUCUUCAGCCUGGAAAGAAAACAUCUGAGCUUCGGCUGGAACAAACUCCCAAAGCCGGUUUGUUUAACCCCUGGACGGCACAUUAACCCCUGUUAGAGCCAGCUUGUCAGCUCAGCACAAAGGAAGAGAAGCUGCUUGAUAUUUAGGGCCUAUUACCACAAACCGCCCUCUGUUGUGUCCCAAAGAAAACAAUUUCUCCUCAAGAGCUGCAAAAAUACACAUCAUCAUGCAUUUUUAAAGGAGAGAAAAAAAAACAAGAUUUCAGUGUCGUUAUCUUCAGAAAAGUGACUUUUAUGCACCUCAGAGCUGAACAGGGCUGUUUCCCGUGCAUGUUAAGGUGAUGGAGGUUAAUCGCAUGAGAUAAGUGCAGCCCAGCAGGUACAAUACACCUCCACAGGAAGCAUGUUAUCCCUCUGGGUGGGAGAGACGGAGCACUUGUGAUGGAUUACAAGGCCCGCCACAAAUACCUGAGGCUUAUGGGACAUCAGAUCAAUGAGAAAACAUCAGCCUCCCUGUAAUACCACUAAUGUCUUUCACUGUGCCAGGAACUGGGGUCAAGUCUGGAAGGUAGAACUUGAUUCUCGAUGAAAAGCGCAUUGAGAAACGUUCAACCUUUCGAAGCUUUUAACCAGACAGACGUCUUUAAAAAGAGCCUCCUCCUCCUCCUCACCUGUCUUCCUGCUGACCCGAGCGCACUCUAUCUGACCCGGGACUCUCCGGUCCAGAUCUUUUUUCUAACAUGCCAGCUUAAAUAAGGCGAAGAGCGGUUAUGGAGCUGAAGACCCCCGAAAUAGAGGAAUCGCGUGAGAAAGAGGCGAGCACACUGAAGGUAGCAGCUGACUGAGUGGAGAGUGCACCGCCCCCCGAGGUCAAAGCACUUCUGUCAUAUUAGCUUAUACACGGGGUCCAUAUUUUCAAUAAAUCAUGGCCCUCAAGGAUCGCUGGGAGUGCAGGGGCCAUUAGAGCCGUCCUCCAUGUGGGCUCCCUCUGCCUCACCGCUGCUGCUGGACUGUGGUGAGGGAGCAAAAUAAUGUGUCUGAUUUAGAUUUAAAAAAUUAUGUUUUAUUAACUUAAAAAUGUCUUAAUGCAAUAAAAAAGUGAAGCUUUGUCUGUAUUUGUGACAGGAAGCUGAAUUAAAAA
Molecule: long non-coding RNA, 2540 nt
Organism: Acanthopagrus latus (yellowfin seabream)
Lineage: Eukaryota; Metazoa; Chordata; Actinopteri; Spariformes; Sparidae
Exons: 4
Source: RefSeq, a predicted model, not a curated record